GACGAACGCUGGCGGCGUGCCUAAUACAUGCAAGUCGAACGCUGAAGGAGGAGCUUGCUUCUCUGGAUGAGUUGCGAACGGGUGAGUAACGCGUAGGUAACCUGCCUGGUAGCGGGGGAUAACUAUUGGAAACGAUAGCUAAUACCGCAUAAUAUUGACUAUUGCAUGAUAGUCAGUUGAAAGGUGCAACUGCACCACUACCAGAUGGACCUGCGUUGUAUUAGCUAGUUGGUGGGGUAACGGCUCACCAAGGCGACGAUACAUAGCCGACCUGAGAGGGUGAUCGGCCACACUGGGACUGAGACACGGCCCAGACUCCUACGGGAGGCAGCAGUAGGGAAUCUUCGGCAAUGGACGGAAGUCUGACCGAGCAACGCCGCGGGAGUGAGGAAGGGUGUCGGAUCGUAAAGCUCGGUUGUAAGAGAAGAACGAGUGUGAGAGUGGAAAGCUCACACUGUGACGGUAGCUUACAAGAAAGGGACGGCUAACUACGUG
This 495-nucleotide ribosomal RNA is filed under the name uncultured bacterium. RNAcentral describes it as "partial 16S ribosomal RNA". It matches the Rfam family "Bacterial small subunit ribosomal RNA", at positions 28 to 507 of the family's 1533-position model. The record is from RNAcentral.